UAGUGGCCCGGCCCGGCCAUAGCGGCCGGGUAACACCCGGACUCAUUUCGAACCCGGAAGUUAAGCCGGCCGCGUUGGAGGCUCCAGUGGGGUCCGAGAGGCCCUGCAGGGGCCUCCAA
This 119-nucleotide ribosomal RNA is filed under the name Aeropyrum pernix K1. Lineage: Archaea; Thermoproteati; Thermoproteota; Thermoprotei; Acidilobales; Acidilobaceae. The record is from RNAcentral.